AAUAGAUACCCGGGUAGUCCACGCCGUAAACGAUGGAUGCUAGCUGUUAUGCGUAUCGACCCGUGUAGUAGCGAAGCUAACGCGUUAAGCAUCCCGCCUGGGGAGUACGAACGCAAGUUUAAAACUCAAAGGAAUUGACGGGGACCCGCACAAGCGGUGGAGCGUGUUCUUUAAUUCGAGGCUAAGCGAAGAACCUUACCAGGGCUUGACAUCCUUGGAAUUUCUCCGAAAGGAGAGAGUACUUUAUUGGACCAAGUGACAGGUGCUGCAUGGCCGUCGUCAGCUCGUGUCGUGAGAUGUUUGGUUAAGUCCAUUAACGAGCGCAACCCUUAUGAAUAGUUGUAUUUUUCUAUUCAGACUGCCCCGGUAACGGGGAGGAAGGGGGGAUGAUGUCAGGUCAGUAUUGCCCUUACGGCCCUGGGCUAGAAACGCGCUACAAUGGCCGGUACAAUGCGCUGCCAACCCGCGAGGGGGAGCAAAUCGCAUCAAAGCCGGUCCCAGUUCGGAUAAGAGGCUGAAACUCGCCUCUUUGAAGCCGGAAUCGCUAGUAAUCGU
Molecule: ribosomal RNA, 555 nt
Filed under: uncultured bacterium
Lineage: Bacteria
Description: bacterial SSU rRNA
Rfam family: Bacterial small subunit ribosomal RNA
Source: RNAcentral